Molecule: ribosomal RNA, 408 nt
Filed under: uncultured bacterium
Lineage: Bacteria
Description: partial 16S ribosomal RNA
Rfam family: Bacterial small subunit ribosomal RNA
Source: RNAcentral
GACGAACGCUGGCGGCGUGCUUAACACAUGCAAGUCGAACGAAGUGGCGAACGGGUGAGUAACGCGUAAUCAACCUGCCCUUCAGCGGGGGACAACAGUUGGAAACGACUGCUAAUACCGCAUACUGAAGGAGGGGUUUGCGUCGGAUUAGCUAGGUGGAGGGGUAACGGCCCACCAAGGCGAGGAUCAGUAGGCGGUUUGGGGGGAUGAACGGCCACCAUGGGACUGAGGCACGGCCCAGACUUCCACCGGAGGCAGCCGUGGGGAAUCUUCCGCCAUGGAAGAAAGUCUGACGGAGCAACGCCGCGUGAGUGAUGACGGCCUUCGGGUUGUAAAGCUCUGUUAAUCGGGACGCGGUACCGGAAUAGGAAGCCACGGCUAACUACGUGCCAGCAGCCGCGGUAAUAC